RNAcentral lists this ribosomal RNA (1404 nucleotides) under Klebsiella pneumoniae. Its description in RNAcentral is "bacterial SSU rRNA". It matches the Rfam family "Bacterial small subunit ribosomal RNA". The record is from RNAcentral. Lineage: Bacteria; Pseudomonadati; Pseudomonadota; Gammaproteobacteria; Enterobacterales; Enterobacteriaceae.
GCAGUCGAGCGGUAGCACAGAGAGCUUGCUCUCGGGUGACGAGCGGCGGACGGGUGAGUAAUGUCUGGGAAACUGCCUGAUGGAGGGGGAUAACUACUGGAAACGGUAGCUAAUACCGCAUAAUGUCGCAAGACCAAAGUGGGGGACCUUCGGGCCUCAUGCCAUCAGAUGUGCCCAGAUGGGAUUAGCUAGUAGGUGGGGUAACGGCUCACCUAGGCGACGAUCCCUAGCUGGUCUGAGAGGAUGACCAGCCACACUGGAACUGAGACACGGUCCAGACUCCUACGGGAGGCAGCAGUGGGGAAUAUUGCACAAUGGGCGCAAGCCUGAUGCAGCCAUGCCGCGUGUGUGAAGAAGGCCUUCGGGUUGUAAAGCACUUUCAGCGGGGAGGAAGGCGGUGAGGUUAAUAACCUUGUCGAUUGACGUUACCCGCAGAAGAAGCACCGGCUAACUCCGUGCCAGCAGCCGCGGUAAUACGGAGGGUGCAAGCGUUAAUCGGAAUUACUGGGCGUAAAGCGCACGCAGGCGGUCUGUCAAGUCGGAUGUGAAAUCCCCGGGCUCAACCUGGGAACUGCAUUCGAAACUGGCAGGCUAGAGUCUUGUAGAGGGGGGUAGAAUUCCAGGUGUAGCGGUGAAAUGCGUAGAGAUCUGGAGGAAUACCGGUGGCGAAGGCGGCCCCCUGGACAAAGACUGACGCUCAGGUGCGAAAGCGUGGGGAGCAAACAGGAUUAGAUACCCUGGUAGUCCACGCCGUAAACGAUGUCGAUUUGGAGGUUGUGCCCUUGAGGCGUGGCUUCCGGAGCUAACGCGUUAAAUCGACCGCCUGGGGAGUACGGCCGCAAGGUUAAAACUCAAAUGAAUUGACGGGGGCCCGCACAAGCGGUGGAGCAUGUGGUUUAAUUCGAUGCAACGCGAAGAACCUUACCUGGUCUUGACAUCCACAGAACUUUCCAGAGAUGGAUUGGUGCCUUCGGGAACUGUGAGACAGGUGCUGCAUGGCUGUCGUCAGCUCGUGUUGUGAAAUGUUGGGUUAAGUCCCGCAACGAGCGCAACCCUUAUCCUUUGUUGCCAGCGGUCCGGCCGGGAACUCAAAGGAGACUGCCAGUGAUAAACUGGAGGAAGGUGGGGAUGACGUCAAGUCAUCAUGGCCCUUACGACCAGGGCUACACACGUGCUACAAUGGCAUAUACAAAGAGAAGCGACCUCGCGAGAGCAAGCGGACCUCAUAAAGUAUGUCGUAGUCCGGAUUGGAGUCUGCAACUCGACUCCAUGAAGUCGGAAUCGCUAGUAAUCGUAGAUCAGAAUGCUACGGUGAAUACGUUCCCGGGCCUUGUACACACCGCCCGUCACACCAUGGGAGUGGGUUGCAAAAGAAGUAGGUAGCUUAACCUUCGGGAGGGCGCU